This 22-nucleotide small nuclear RNA is filed under the name Arabidopsis thaliana (thale cress). RNAcentral describes it as "snRNA_17384". Lineage: Eukaryota; Viridiplantae; Streptophyta; Magnoliopsida; Brassicales; Brassicaceae. The record is from RNAcentral.
GUCAACAUCUGAUCGAUAGACU